Molecule: small nuclear RNA, 160 nt
Organism: Nomascus leucogenys (northern white-cheeked gibbon)
Lineage: Eukaryota; Metazoa; Chordata; Mammalia; Primates; Hylobatidae
Rfam family: U1 spliceosomal RNA
About the family: U1 is a small nuclear RNA (snRNA) component of the spliceosome (involved in pre-mRNA splicing). Its 5' end forms complementary base pairs with the 5' splice junction, thus defining the 5' donor site of an intron. There are significant differences in sequence and secondary structure between metazoan and yeast U1 snRNAs, the latter being much longer (568 nucleotides as compared to 164 nucleotides in human).
Source: Rfam
AUACUUACCUGGCAGGGGAAAUACUAUGAUCAUGAAGGUGGUUUUCCCAGGGCGAGGCUUAUCCAUUGCAUUCUGGAUGUGCUGACCCCUGUGAUUUCCCCAAAUGAAAAGAAAUUCAAAGAAAAUAAAAGGCCAUCCUGCUGUGCAGAUAGGAGAUGAG